GGGGAACCAGGACUUUUACUUUGAAAAAAUNAGAGUGCUCCAGGCAGGCCUAUGCUSGAAUACAUUAGCAUGGAAUAAUAGAAUAGGACGUGUGGUUCUAUUUUGUUGGUUUCUAGGACCGCCGUAAUGAUUAAUAGGGCCAGUCGGGGGCAUCAGUAUUCAAUUGUCAGAGGUGAAAUUCUUGGAUCUAUUGAAGACUAACUACUGCGAAAGCAUUUGCCAAGGAUGUUUUCAUUGAUAAGGAACGAAAGUUAGGGGAUCGAAGACGAUCAGAUACCGUCGUAGUCUUAACCAUAAACUAUGCCGACUAGGGAUCGGACGAUGUUAUCUUUUGACGCGUUCGGCACCUUUCGAGAAAUCAAAGUGCUUGGGCUCCAGGGGGAGUAUGGUCGCAAGGCUGAAACUUAAAGAAAUUGACGGAAGGGCACCACCAGGGGUGGAACCUGCGGCUUAAUUUGACCCAACACGGGGAAACUCACCAGGUCCAGACACAGUGAGGAUUGACAGAUUGAGAGCUCUUUCUUGAUUCUGUGGGUGGUGGUGCAUGGCCGUUCUUAGUUGGUGGAGCGAUUUGUCUGCUUAAUUGCGAUAACGAACGAGACCU
RNAcentral lists this ribosomal RNA (604 nucleotides) under uncultured fungus. Its description in RNAcentral is "SSU rRNA". It matches the Rfam family "Eukaryotic small subunit ribosomal RNA", at positions 748 to 1354 of the family's 1831-position model. Lineage: Eukaryota; Fungi. The record is from RNAcentral.